This 466-nucleotide ribosomal RNA is filed under the name uncultured bacterium. RNAcentral describes it as "partial 16S ribosomal RNA". It matches the Rfam family "Bacterial small subunit ribosomal RNA", at positions 28 to 507 of the family's 1533-position model. The record is from RNAcentral.
GACGAACGCUGGCGGCGUGCUUAACACAUGCAAGUCGUGCGGUAAGGCCCUUUCUGGGGUACACUAGCGGCGAACGCGUGCGUAACACGUGAGCAACCUGCCCUUCACUUUGCGAUAACUGCCGGAAACAGUGGCUAAUACCGGAGAUGACUUCCUCACUCAUUUGGGUGGUUGGAAAGCCUUCUGGGGGUGGGGGAUGGGCUCGCGCUCUAUCAGCUUGUUGGUGGGGAGAUGGCCUACCAAGGCUUAGAGGGGUAGCCGGCCUGAGAGGGUGACCGGCCACACUGGGACUGAGACACGGCCCAGACUCCUACGGGAGGCAGCAGUGGGGAAUAUUGGACAAUGGGCGAAAGCCUGAUCCAGCAACGCCGGGUGAGGGAGGACGGCCUUGGGGUUGUAAACCUCUUUCGCCGGCGACGAAGCGAGAGUGACGGUAGCAGGUAAAGAAGCACCGGCCAACUACGUG